RNAcentral lists this unclassified non-coding RNA (202 nucleotides) under Hevea brasiliensis (rubber tree). Lineage: Eukaryota; Viridiplantae; Streptophyta; Magnoliopsida; Malpighiales; Euphorbiaceae. The record is from RNAcentral.
UUGGUUUGCACAUACACAAUGACUGUCAAUGACACCAUCAUUGCAAAAGUGUAAGUGAAAACAUACCAAUUGAAGAAACUGUUGAUUCCUUUCUUCCCAGCUUCUGUAUUUGGAUUGAACUGAUCAGCUCCAAAAGCCAAAUUACAUGGUCGAAUGCCACCAGCUCCAAUUAUCAUAAGGCCAAAUCCAACCAUCAGAAAAG